GACGAACGCUGGCGGCGUGCCUAAUACAUGCAAGUUGAGCGCUGAAGGUUGGUACUUGUACCAACUGGAUGAGCAGCGAACGGGUGAGUAACGCGUGGGGAAUCUGCCUUUGAGCGGGGGACAACAUUUGGAAACGAAUGCUAAUACCGCAUAAAAACUUUAAACACAAGUUUUAAGUUUGAAAGAUGCAAUUGCAUCACUCAAAGAUGAUCCCGCGUUGUAUUAGCUAGUUGGUGAGGUAAAGGCUCACCAAGGCGAUGAUACAUAGCCGACCUGAGAGGGUGAUCGGCCACAUUGGGACGGAGACACGGCCCAAACUCCUACGGGAGGCAGCAGUAGGGAAUCUUCGGCAAUGGACGAAAGUCUGACCGAGCAACGCCGCGUGAGUGAAGAAGGUUUUCGGACCGUAAAACUCUGUUGGUAGAGAAGAACGUUGGUGAGAGUGGAAAGCUCAUCAAGUGACGGUAACUACCCAGAAAGGGACGGCUAACUACGUG
Molecule: ribosomal RNA, 497 nt
Filed under: uncultured bacterium
Lineage: Bacteria
Description: partial 16S ribosomal RNA
Rfam family: Bacterial small subunit ribosomal RNA
Source: RNAcentral